Long non-coding RNA from Oncorhynchus tshawytscha (Chinook salmon), 842 nucleotides. Lineage: Eukaryota; Metazoa; Chordata; Actinopteri; Salmoniformes; Salmonidae. The record is from Ensembl.
CCACUAUGUUGACAGUGGGAGUCAGCAAGCCAGUAUGUUGACAGUGGGAGUCAGUGAGCCAGUAUGUUGACAGUGGGAGUCAGCGAGCCAAUAGGUUGACAGUGGGAGUCAGCGAGCCAGUAUGUUGACAGUGGGAGUCAGCGAGCCAAUAGGUUGAUAGUGGGAGUCAGCGAGCCAGUAUGUUGACAGUGGGAGUCAGCGAGCCAGUAUGUUGACAGUGGGAGUCAGUGAGCCAGUAUGUUGACAGCAGGAGUCAGCAAGCCAGUAAGUUGCCAGGGGGAGUCAGCGAGCCAGUAAGUUGCCAGCGGGAGUCAAUGAGCCAUCGGGAGUCAGCGAGCCAGCGGGAGUCAGUGAGCAAGCGGGAGUCAGAGUGCCAGGGGGAGUCAGAGCGCCAGGGGGAGUCAGAGCACCAAGGGGAGUCAGAGCGCCAGGGGGAGUCAGCGGGCCUCUAUGUUGAUAACGGGAGUCAGUUUGGGAGAAAUUAUGUACAUAUAUGGAAGAUCAUAAAUAAUGUAACACUUAUAGAGUACAUUUGCCAUUCUGGUAAAAGGCAUUGUCUAUUGUAUAGGACAGGAAGCCAGAGUGGGGCCAUGGGAGAGGGCCCCACGUUGGGCGCCAGGACAGCUGGACACACUAAAACUAGAGGAGACACACAGUCUAUUGAUCCGAAAUAAAGGCACACAUACAAAGGAACAGAUGGAGCUAGCUACAGGAUCAAAGCCUAUAGCAUAGAGGAAUGUAUAUUAUCUUUAGGUCAAAGCAAGGGUCUUGUCACCAUUAGGAUCUAAUGGAAAGCAGAUGGGGGCGUUAUUGGGCUGAACAAGCAGGAUGCACGGAUUGGG